RRNACCGGUUGAUCCUGCCGGAAGCCACUGCUAUUGGGGUUCGGCUAAGCCAUGCGAGUGGUGGGCGUCCCGCAAGGGAUGGCCCCGCACACGGCUCAGUAACACGUAGUCAACCUACCCUCGGGACGGGGACAACGCCGGGAAACUGGCGAUAAUCUCCGAUAGGAGAGGGACGCUGGAAUGCCCCCUCGCCUAAAUCCUCUGGGGCCCGAGGAUGGAACUGCGGCCUAUCAGGCUGUUGGUGGUGUAACGGACCACCAAACCUACAACGGGUACGGGCGAUGGGAGUCGGAGCCCGGAGAUGGGGACUGAGACAAGGCCCCAGGCCCUACGGGGCGCAGCGGGCGCGAAAACUCCGCAAUGCGCGAAAGCGUGACGGGGGAACCCCAAGUGCCGUUGGUCUUUUGAUCGACGGCUUUUCGGGAGUCUAAGAAGCUCCCGGAAUAAGGGCUGGGUAAGUCGGGUGCCAGCCGCCGCGGUAAUACCCGCAGCCCAAGUGGUGGUCGCGAUUAUUGGGCCUAAAGCGCUCGUAGCCGGGCCGGCAAGUCCCUUGUGAAAUCGGACGGCUUAACCGUUCGGCUUGCAAGGGAUACUGUUUGUCUUGAGGCCGGGAGACGUCUGAGGUACUCCGGGGGUAGCGGUGAAAUGCUCUAAUCCUCGGGGAACCACCAGUGGCGAAGGCGUCAGACGAGAACGGACCUGACGG
Molecule: ribosomal RNA, 706 nt
Filed under: uncultured archaeon
Lineage: Archaea
Description: bacterial SSU rRNA
Rfam family: Archaeal small subunit ribosomal RNA
Source: RNAcentral